CACCCAUUAGUCUCAAGGUCAAGUCGGACGAGAGAAACCUGAUAAAUUUGCACAGGGACAGAUGCUCAGGGGAAAGGAAAGAGCUCUGCCUUGCACUUGUACAGAAAGGAAACAAGGCAGCAGAGGCAAGACCAAUGGAGAGUACGGCAGCAAGACAGAAAGGGGCAGAAGGCGACAGAACAUGCACGCUGGGGACAUGGAAAUUUCUAGAAAGAAGGCGCAAGCAGAAACAGGACACCGGCGAUAAAAAGUUCCCUUUGUAACCAGACCAGCUGAGACCAGUUACAAAGCCUACCCCAGGUAUCCGACCAGAUGACUUCAAAAAGACCUCAGGCUUCAUUAUAAUCUAAUUUCCAUGCUAAAUGACACUUCCACCAGUGUCAUGACGGUUGCCAGUCCCCGUGACAAUGACCAGAAGGAGCCAUAAAAGGACAAAAACAAGGGAGCCCCUCAUUCCAAGAAGUGUACCGCCCAGUUCCAGAAAAGACAUGGAUAUUCCUCCUCUUGCUUUUAAUGUCCAGCCAUCAUUAAGGAAACCCUAUAUGAUAACCCCCUCACCCCUCACUAAUUGAGAAGUUGAUUUGUGAGCCAAGCUCCCGCUUCUCAAUUCCAUGGCCAUCGAAUAAAGCCUGC
This 633-nucleotide long non-coding RNA is filed under the name Homo sapiens (human). Its description in RNAcentral is "HSALNT0392858". Lineage: Eukaryota; Metazoa; Chordata; Mammalia; Primates; Hominidae. The record is from RNAcentral.